GAAUAUUGGACAAUGGGGGGAACCCUGAUCCAGCCAUGCCGCGUGUGUGAAGAAGGCCUUUUGGUUGUAAAGCACUUUAAGCGGGGAGGAGGCUACUCUAGUUAAUACCUAGGGAUAGUUGACGUUACUCGCAGACUCAGCACCUGCUCACGCUGUUCCCGCAGCCGCGGUAAUACAGAGGGUGCAGGCGUUAAUCGGAUUUACUGGGCGUAAAGCGCGCGUAGGUGGCCAAUUAAGUCAAAUGUGAAAUCCCCGAGCUUAACUUGGGAAUUGCAUUCGAUACUGGUUGGCUAGAGUAUGGGAGAGGAUGGUAGAAUUCCAGGUGUAGCGGUGAAAUGCGUAGAGAUCUGGAGGAAUACCGAUGGCGAAGGCAGCCAUCUGGCCUAAUACUGACACUGAGGUGCGAAAGCAUGGGGAGCAAACA
RNAcentral lists this ribosomal RNA (424 nucleotides) under uncultured bacterium. RNAcentral describes it as "bacterial SSU rRNA". It matches the Rfam family "Bacterial small subunit ribosomal RNA", at positions 359 to 774 of the family's 1533-position model. The record is from RNAcentral.